UAUGACGAUGGGAUCAAGAGGCUUGGUAA
This 29-nucleotide non-coding RNA is filed under the name Rattus norvegicus (Norway rat). Lineage: Eukaryota; Metazoa; Chordata; Mammalia; Rodentia; Muridae. The record is from RNAcentral.